This is a non-coding RNA of Nicotiana attenuata, 47 nucleotides long. Lineage: Eukaryota; Viridiplantae; Streptophyta; Magnoliopsida; Solanales; Solanaceae. The record is from Rfam.
AUUACGGCGGUUCUAACCGCCACUAAUUAGACGAAAUUUUAAAUUUU